CUUCCGACUUUUUUUUACUUCAGUUUUUACCCCAAAAGGGGGGCUCGGAUUGAUCAAGGUGCAAAACAAUUGUAGGGGGAAAGGAAGCCUCCCCAGAAAAAUGGUAAUGCCAUGGGGCGUCACUGUUUGGAUGGCAAAGGUGGUGUGGUUGGCCCUCACCGGCUUGAUUUCGUCUUGCUUAGCCGUUGCCGAUGAAGUCGCCGGCUCCCUUAGAACCGGAGAUAUUGGCCCUUUGCAUGUCGGCUGAUUGAUUGUCACCGGACUCACCACUCCUAUGCUCUCUGAUGGUUAAAAUCCGUAAAUAACGGUGAAGGGACGGUGGGUGCAUGGCCUGGACAUUCAGAGCUGCUAAUUUUAUACUGUGAAUACUGUAAAUACUGUGAGUAGAUUUCUUUUAUUUUUAUUUAUUUUUUGUUUCAUAUUAAAUACCAAAGUCAUACUGGGGUUUGUGCUUUGUACUGGAAAGUUGUAUAUCUCUGGUUUGUGUUUGGAAAUCAAUAAGAUUGUUGGGUGCUAUGCUUUAAAAC
Malus domestica (apple) is the source of this 527-nucleotide long non-coding RNA. RefSeq lists it as uncharacterized. Lineage: Eukaryota; Viridiplantae; Streptophyta; Magnoliopsida; Rosales; Rosaceae. The record is from RefSeq and is a predicted model, not a curated record.